This is a long non-coding RNA of Zalophus californianus (California sea lion), 1671 nucleotides long. RefSeq lists it as uncharacterized. The record is from RefSeq and is a predicted model, not a curated record. The transcript is spliced from 5 exons. Lineage: Eukaryota; Metazoa; Chordata; Mammalia; Carnivora; Otariidae.
CCCCUCCCCGCCCCGCCCGCUCAGCCGCCAGCGCCACACCCGGCCCGGGCCGCGGCCCGACCUGCGCCUCCCUGGCAGUGGAGAGGGUCCCGAGCUGCAGCGGCUCCCGGCGGGGCAGCCUUAUUCCACGGAAGCCUUUUUUGGAUGAGUUUUGUGUCAACACCUCCAACUCUGGGACAUCGAUCAUGACCACACUGGCUGACUCAAGGACAUGCCUCUUCCUUUGAAGACAUAAAUCACUUCUGCUUUAUUAUGAGUAGGGCAGCGCAGCGAGAUAGAAAAAUUGAAGAUCAGGAUGAGCUCUGGUAGCAGUUGACAACCCUUCAUGAAGUGGAAUCUGAGCUGCGUUUUCAAAAAUGAGAAGAACUUAUCCUGAGAUGGAAUUUAAAAUCAAGACUUUCCUUGGGCAGUACUCUUAUUCCAGAUCUAGACACAAAGUUUUGAGGUGAUUUGUUUUGCAGCAAAUAGAUAACUAAUGCAUCAGACGACUCCUCACAAAAUGCAAACUGCUGUAGGAGAAAGAUGACAGCUUGAGUCACCACCAAAAAAGUCAGUAGAUAAAUUUAAAGAAUAUGCCGCCUGGCUGGCUCGGUCCACACAGAAGAGUGUGAGAUGCUUGAUUUCGGGGUCAUGAGUUCAAGCCCCACAUUGGGUGCAGAGAGUACUUAAAUAAAUUUCUUUUUAAAAUAAAGAAAAGAUGGUAAUGUUGGAACCUGAGUUAGUGGUCUGGAAAGUGGAAGAAAGAUUUCAAAAUACAGAGAGAAGAAAAAAAAGCAAUAGAAAUGGUGAAAAAAAUCAAGACAUGGAGGACAGAUGCAGGAGAUGCAAGAUUACCAGAAGGAAAAAAAAAGGAAUGGAGGAGAGGCAAUAAUGGAACAAAAAAAGGAAGAAAAUUUCUCAGAGGGAAAGAACAAUUUGAAUCUGAAGAUUGAAAGGCCUUACUGAAUUCCAGUCAGAUUGAUUAAAAACAACAACAACAGAUAUAUCUACUUACACACAAGCAUGUUGUAAAAUUCCUGAAUUCCAAGAGUCAAAGUACUGAUUUUAUUUUAUUUUAUUUUAUUUUAUUUUAUUUUAUUUUAUUUUAUUUUAUUUUAUUUCAGAGUCUACUCUGAAAUAUCCAACAGUACUAAUUUUAGAAUCUGUUGGAUAGAAAGAAGAAUUUACUUAAAAAGGAAAAAUAUCAGCCUGACAUGACAUUUUGCAUUAAAAACCUGAAGCUAGGGAAAAUGAAGUAAAAUCCACAGACAGUACCAAACAAAUGAAAUAACAAAAACCCUCCCCAAGAAGUCUCCCCCAGCUUAGGUACGGUUCAUUUGUUAGGGUGAAAGAAAAGUCUAUGUGCAUCUAUGGAAAGGAGGCCAGCACAGGAGUGAGAGAGACAAUAGCUGGACCAGAGUGUGUGUGUGAUAAAAUUAACAAAGACGAACAUUUAAAAAAACAACAGUCACUUUUUACCAAGAUGCGAUAAUUGAGAAGAACAUAAUGCCUAUGGCUAGUGGCAGCCGCGAUGAAUGCAGGAGUACAGGAGAGGGCUGGCUCAUACGCUGCAUUUGGAGCGGUGAAUUCAAUAUACACCAUUGGCAACGCAAUCUGGCACUACCUGUUAAAAUAAAAAAUAUGCAGGGCCACCUGGGUGGCUCAGUUGGUUAAGCGUUUGCCUUCGGCUCA